GGGGAAACCCAGUGUGUUCCGACACACUAUCGUUAACUGAAUACAUAGGUUAACGAGGCGAACCGGGGGAACUGAAACAUCUAAGUACCCCGAGGAAAAGAAAUCAACCGAGAUUCCCCCAGUAGCGGCGAGCGAACGGGGAGCAGCCCGGAGUCUGAAUCAGCUUGUGUGUUAGUGGAACGGUCUGGAAAGUCCGACGGUACAGGGUGAUAGUCCCGUACACGAAAAUGCACAUGCUGUGAACUCGAAGAGUAGGGCGGGACACGUGGUAUCCUGUCUGAAUAUGGGGGGACCAUCCUCCAAGGCUAAAUACUCCUGACUGACCGAUAGUGAACCAGUACCGUGAGGGAAAGGCGAAAAGAACCCCGGCGAGGGGAGUGAAAAAGAACCUGAAACCGUGUACGUACAAGCAGUGGGAGCACCUUCGGGUGUGACUGCGUACCUUUUGUAUAAUGGGUCAGCGACUUAUAUUCUGUAGCAAGGUUAACCGUAUAGGGGAGCCGAAGGGAAACCGAGUCUUAACUGGGCGUUAAGUUGCAGGGUAUAGACCCGAAACCCGGUGAUCUAGCCAUGGGCAGGUUGAAGGUUGGGUAACACUAACUGGAGGACCGAACCGACUAAUGUUGAAAAAUUAGCGGAUGACCUGUGGCUGGGGGUGAAAGGCCAAUCAAACCGGGAGAUAGCUGGUUCUCCCCGAAAGCUAUUUAGGUAGCGCCUCGUGAACUCAUCUUCGGGGGUAGAGCACUGUUUCGGCUAGGGGGCCAUCCCGGCUUACCAACCCGAUGCAAACUACGAAU
This 797-nucleotide ribosomal RNA is filed under the name Enterobacter hormaechei. Its description in RNAcentral is "partial 23S ribosomal RNA". It matches the Rfam family "Bacterial large subunit ribosomal RNA", at positions 120 to 961 of the family's 2925-position model. Lineage: Bacteria; Pseudomonadati; Pseudomonadota; Gammaproteobacteria; Enterobacterales; Enterobacteriaceae. The record is from RNAcentral.